AUUGAACGCUGGCGGCAUGCCUUACACAUGCAAGUCGAACGGUAACAGGUUAAGCUGACGAGUGGCGACCGGGUGAGUAAUGUAUCGGAACGUGCCCAGUCGUGGGGGAUAACUGCUCGAAAGAGCAGCUAAUACCGCAUACGACCUGAGGGUGAAAGCGGGGGAUCGCAAGCCCUCGCGCGAUUGGAGCGGCCGAUAUCAGAUUAGGUAGUUGGUGAGGUAAAGGCUCACCAAGCCGACGAUCUGUAGCUGGUCUGAGAGGACGACCAGCCACACUGGGACUGAGACACGGCCCAGACUCCUACGGGAGGCAGCAGUGGGGAAUUUUGGACAAUGGGCGCAAGCCUGAUCCAGCCAUGCCGCGUGCGGGAAGAAGGCCUUCGGGUUGUAAACCGCUUUUGUCAGGGAAGAAAAGGUUCUGGCUAAUACCUGGGACUCAUGACGGUACCUGAAGAAUAAGCACCGGCUAACUACGUG
RNAcentral lists this ribosomal RNA (477 nucleotides) under uncultured bacterium. RNAcentral's name for it is "partial 16S ribosomal RNA". It matches the Rfam family "Bacterial small subunit ribosomal RNA", at positions 30 to 507 of the family's 1533-position model. The record is from RNAcentral.